CGCAAGGGCAGAGAACCCAUCGCUGUCUGGGCUCCCGCGAGGAUGAGCUAACUCCAAAAACCAUCCUCAGUUCGAAUUGCAGGCUGCAACUCACCUGCAUGAAGCCAGAAUCGCUAGUAAUCACAGGUUAGCCAUACGGCGGUGAAUUCGUUCC
Molecule: ribosomal RNA, 154 nt
Filed under: Olea europaea subsp. europaea
Lineage: Eukaryota; Viridiplantae; Streptophyta; Magnoliopsida; Lamiales; Oleaceae
Description: SSU_rRNA_bacteria
Rfam family: Bacterial small subunit ribosomal RNA
Source: RNAcentral